CACGUAGGGCGCAAGCGUUGUCCGGAAUUAUUGGGCGUAAAGAGCUCGUAGGCGGUCUGUUACGUCUGCUGUGAAAACCCUGGGCUUAACCCUGGGCUUGCAGUGGAUACGGGCAGACUAGAGGCAGGUAGGGGAGAAUGGAAUUCCCGGUGUAGCGGUGAAAUGCGCAGAUAUCGGGAGGAACACCAAUGGCGAAGGCAGCUCGCUGGGACGGUACUGACGCUGAGGCGCGAAAGCGUGGGGAGCAAACAGG
This 253-nucleotide ribosomal RNA is filed under the name uncultured bacterium. Its description in RNAcentral is "partial 16S ribosomal RNA". It matches the Rfam family "Bacterial small subunit ribosomal RNA", at positions 524 to 776 of the family's 1533-position model. The record is from RNAcentral.